Long non-coding RNA from Rosa rugosa (rugosa rose), 1093 nucleotides. RefSeq lists it as uncharacterized. The record is from RefSeq and is a predicted model, not a curated record. The transcript is spliced from 2 exons. NCBI's taxonomy places the organism in Eukaryota, Viridiplantae, Streptophyta, Magnoliopsida, Rosales, Rosaceae.
CUAAUAGUUAGCUAGUUUACAAAAGAACUAAAAGCUACAUUGGUUUUAUAUGUUAAUGGUUUUCUGAAACAGUAUGUGAAAGGCUCCUGAAGGAUCAGAGAGACAAGGACUUUCUACUGGAGCAGAAUAGUCUUAUCAGAAAACGGCUAAACAAUAGUGGGGUCGAUCUACAGUGAAUCAGCCAAUCACCAACAAAAGGUAAAACUUAGAGUCAGAGAUGGGAAUCGAUCACUAUCAUGAUCGAGAAUCGUGAGCUUUUCUGAUAUGCAUGGAAUAAUAUGAAAGCAGUGAGACUCAUCCUAACUGAUGCACAUUCUUGAUUCGCAGAGGUAAAUGUGGAAGAAAUGAAAAUAAAACUUUGAAAAUGCAAUUGGUAAAUGUAUAAUUGUAUAUGACAUGAAAAAGAAGAACUCACUUGGUUGGAGCUGAAAUGAGAGUGUUGAUGGUUCUGGGAAAGCUUGAUCUCUGCGUGUAGUAAUGGAAGAACCGAGAAAGAAGAAGAAGAGAAAGAAGAAAGUGGAUAUGAUGUGUGAUCUGAUCUGAAAGAGCUUUAAGUCUUCUCUUGUGCUGAUUGUUAAUAACGUGGCAUUGUUCUGCAGCAAAAGCAGAAUCAGCACUCAACUCUCUCUCUCUCUAUCAUCAGGUUGGCUUGGGCUUCAGGCUUGGUGUGAAAUCUCUAUGAUGCGGUGGCUACGUGGGCGGAAUCGGGACCUCGAUUUGCUGCUGGAUCGACGACUUUUCAGGAAUGUUUACCUUUCUGCGGCGGGGUGGAUUGCUGGAGUUUGGAUCGGGGCGUGUCGUGGUGAUGCUGGCCUGCUGGGUGUGGCAGCGUGGUGCCGGGUGAUUUGGGCUGUGGUGAUUGAAUCGUGGCGGCGGGAUCAUGGCGGAGCAGGUGCAGCAUGGUCGGCGGAGCGAGGCUGGAACUGUUCGUUGGCUAGGCGUGUGUGGAGAUGAAGGUUGGGCCUGGACCCGGUCAGGCCUGCUGGGCUCCUCUUUGGAUCUGCGUUGAACUGAAUCAGUUGGUCUAGGCUUUUUUGCCCUAGGUCCAUCCCUAUGUUAAUUAGUUUGUCUAAUUACAAUAAUUUCCUUUGUU